Long non-coding RNA from Etheostoma cragini (Arkansas darter), 2123 nucleotides. RefSeq lists it as uncharacterized. The record is from RefSeq and is a predicted model, not a curated record. Lineage: Eukaryota; Metazoa; Chordata; Actinopteri; Perciformes; Percidae. The transcript is spliced from 2 exons.
CAGGUUGCGUUUCUCGAAAAAAAAAAAAUUCUGCUCGGCUUUAAGUGUGAUUUAUACUUCUGCGUAAAAUGUACGUCGUUGCUACUUAUGUAGGUAUAUGUAGACACAAAUCUACGUCGGACCCCAAGCCGUAGCCUGACGUGCACCUCUCAGAAAAUGUACCUUCACGUCGCAGCGACACUCGUUUCUCUGCCGUGGUUUUUGCCGGAGCCCUGGUCUAGUGCUAAUACGGCCUUAAGGUGACAACACAUCCUUUGGCGGCCAUAUUGGAGUAAACAGGGACUCAGAACAGCCAAGGAUGUUUGCAGAUACUUGGCUGCCUCCCCAGACAUUAUAGACAUGAUUAAUAUUGGUUGUGUUUCUGACUAAAACAGUCACUGUCAUUGUGUCACUAACGUCAUUGGUAUGUUUACAUAAUGGUAGUCUAACGAUACAUGAAAACAUGUGUUUUGUACACCACCUAACUUGGGUGUUAACUUUGUUUCAUGUGAACGUUAACAUGUUGAUUUUUCGAUAGGCUUGUUAGAUCUCUGGCCAAGCCAAAAACAUCAACUAAGUAUUCUCAAAGGUACACUGAGUAAAGCUUUGGCAGAGAAACCAGGACUGAAGACAGUUCAACUUUCAAUAUAUUGUACAUGGUCUGUCCUGUAACGGACUUCACUAUUGGUUUAACCCCAGCACUCUGACAUCUACAGCAGAAACAUAGAGACCCAUUGGUGUCACCGUUGGAUGACUCUGUUAGAAAGAGCUGUUUGAUCAUGUUAAUAUUAAGCUCAUACGAUGUGCCGUUCGAACAUUUCUCAAGGUAAAUACUUCAAGGCAGGGUUAAGACCUUGCAAUUACUGAGAAUGGCGAGAUGCGAUGAUUGUGCAAAUGGGGAAAACGGCCGCACACUUUUGGGUUAGUUUCUCCUCAGAAACAUUCCCAGUCUUGAACUUGAGUCACUCAAGCAAAACUGCUUGAAAAAGAGUCUCACAUUGCUCCACACAUCUGGCAAAUCACUGGUUGAAGUGGUUGUUGUUUUAGUAGGGAAUUUUAGAUACUUUUCACUAAACUUUUAAAUGAGACAUAUAUGGAAGGGUGUAUCCAGUAUAAAGCAACAUCUGUUGGUUUAAAGUUUUUGAAAAGCCAGGGCUCAGACACUGAGGACCUCUUGCUUGGUUCCCCGGUCUUGGGAAGAUUAUCUGACCAAUAGCAAAGUUUGUUACAAAUCAACUCAGAGGCUCACAAACAGUUUUGAAUGACUGUAACUUACCUCCUACCAAAUAUACACAAGUACUCUGUACAGCAGAAAACAUGGUGUCACCAAGAUUAAGUUUCAACUCAUUUGAAAUUCUGCGACAGUGCUUUUCAGUUGGAUAGUUCUUCAAUAUACAUGCUUGUCAACUACAUUGGGACAAAAGACUUGUUAAUAGAAGGGGAAGAUUGUGAUCACGAUCAUGAUCGGGUCACUGAACGGACAUACCAGGCCCUGGAUCCCGGGUCAGGGAACUGCAAAACACCUACAAGAAAUGUUAAAUGAACACAGAGAGAGUCCUGGUUCACUGAGACUCACCUUUCCAGACAGUCUAGUUUGGCCUGGACCAGAGUUCAUUUGAUAGCUGCCACGCCAUUCUAAACAAACUGUACAAAAUGGGCAAAUCCACAAGAGUUGGUUUGAACUGUUAGUCUUCUAUAAAUUUAUUUUUGUUAACACUACUUUCUGCAUUGGCGCGUAACAAUGACAUGAAACAAAUGCUAUUACAAAGAGUUGUGUAUAAUUGAGGAUGGUAAGAGACUGGGUUCAUCCACUUUUACGUUCCAAGAGUUUCUUUUUCCAGCCUGGUUGUUUGAUAUUUGAAUAACUUCCGGCCAAUUCUCCAAUGGAUCGUCGGUCAAUGGUUGCCAGGCGAAUUAUUUAUAUAACCAAUUCCUGUAUAUGAAAAGAGGGUGCGAAUACUAAGACAGUGUGAGCAAGCUAAUCAAACGCAUGUAUAAUGUGCGUGCUGCAUCACCGAGCGUCCUUCCCAUGCUCUGUGGUAUGUGACACAUGUAGACGUCAAGUGGUUUCUUGGUUAUAUGCCUGCUUUGUUUGACUAAACUGAAAAAAAGAGAAUAGAUAAGAAGAAACAAAAAGAGAAACA